GACGAACGCUGGCGGCGUGCUUAACACAUGCAAGUCGAACGGAAAGGCCCUGCUUUUGUGGGGUGCUCGAGUGGCGAACGGGUGAGUAACACGUGAGUAACCUGCCCUUGACUUUGGGAUAACUUCAGGAAACUGGAGCUAAUACCGUAUAGGAGCUCCUGCUGCAUUGUGGGGGUUGGAAAGUUUCGGCGGUUGGGGAUGGACUCGCGGCUUAUCAGCUUGUUGGUGGGGUAGUGGCUUACCAAGGCUUUGACGGGUAGCCGGCCUGAGAGGGUGACCGGCCACAUUGGGACUGCGAGACGGCCCAGACUGCUACGGGAGGCAGCAGUGGGGAAUAUUGCACAAUGGGCGGAAGCCUGAUGCAGCAACGCCGCGUGCGGGAUGACGGCCUUCGGGUUGUAAACCGCUUUCGCCUGUGACGAAGCGUGAGUGACGGUAAUGGGUAAAGAAGCACCGGCUAACUACGUG
This 468-nucleotide ribosomal RNA is filed under the name uncultured bacterium. Its description in RNAcentral is "partial 16S ribosomal RNA". It matches the Rfam family "Bacterial small subunit ribosomal RNA", at positions 28 to 507 of the family's 1533-position model. The record is from RNAcentral.